CAGUAGCCGCGGUAAUACAGAGGUCCCGAGCGUUGUUCGGAUUCACUGGGCGUAAAGGGUGUGUAGGAGGUUGGAUAAGUCAGGUGUGAAAUCCCGCAGCUCAACUGCGGAACUGCAUUCGAUACUGUUCAACUAGAGGAUCGGAGGGGGAAGCGGAAUUCUUGGUGUAGCGGUGAAAUGCGUAGAGAUCUGGAGGAAUACCGAUGGCGAAGGCAGCCAUCUGGCCUAAUACUGACGCUGAGGUACGAAAGCAUGGGGAGCAAACAGGAUUAGAUACCCCCGUAGUCCCUGUCUCUUAUAC
Molecule: ribosomal RNA, 301 nt
Filed under: uncultured bacterium
Lineage: Bacteria
Description: partial 16S ribosomal RNA
Rfam family: Bacterial small subunit ribosomal RNA
Source: RNAcentral